This 481-nucleotide ribosomal RNA is filed under the name uncultured bacterium. RNAcentral's name for it is "partial 16S ribosomal RNA". It matches the Rfam family "Bacterial small subunit ribosomal RNA", at positions 29 to 523 of the family's 1533-position model. The record is from RNAcentral.
ACGAACGCUGGCGGCGCGCCUAACACAUGCAAGUCGAACGAGAGAGAGGGAGCUUGCUUCCUUGAUCGAGUGGCGAACGGGUGAGUAACGCGUGAGGAACCUGCCUCAAAGAGGGGGACAACUGUUGGAAACGACUGCUAAUACCGCAUAAGCCCACGACCCGGCAUCGGGAAGAGGGAAAAGGAGCAAUCCGCUUUGAGAUGGCCUCGCGUCCGAUUAGCUAGUUGGUGAGGUAACGGCCCACCAAGGCGACGAUCGGUAGCCGGACUGAGAGGUUGAACGGCCACAUUGGGACUGCGACACGGCCCAGACUCCUACGGGAGGCAGCAGUGGGGAAUAUUGCACAAUGGGGGAAACCCUGAUGCAGCGACGCCGCGUGGAGGAAGAAGGUCUUCGGAUUGUAAACUCCUGUUGUUGAGGAAGAUAAUGACGGUACUCAACAAGGAAGUGACGGCUAACUACGUGCCAGCCGCCGCGGUAA